UUGGGCUCUCUUUGUACUCUGUGUGGCAGGAGAUUUUGUCAUUUGGGUUUAACCAAAAGAUUCUAAUUUUAAUUGAAAGUCUUUCUCGCCAUGCUAAGCAGUCCCCUGAAGCGCUCCUGAGCUCUGGAUGGUCUCGUCUGGAUGGGAAGAAAGGUUUGCCCUUAACUCAAGCUAAAACCUCAUGGAGACAAGGGCUGCUGUCAGAGGGAGGCUCUAACCCAGCAGGCUGCUGAAAGGACCCACAGGCCAGUGAUCAGGGGCUCGGCUCAGCGCGAAGGCAGGACAAUGGCCAGGGACAAUAUCUAUGAGAACAUGCCGAUGACGGAAGCUGCUCCCCAGCCCAAAGGAAACCCUCCUGAGACAUCGGUCCUUUGGCGGCACAGGGCACGGGGAAUCAUCGUCACUGCUGUCCUUCUCCUCCUGGGUCUGGCCCUGGCCACGUCCCUCCUUGCUGUGAUACUUCUAGGU
Mauremys reevesii (Reeves's turtle) is the source of this 468-nucleotide long non-coding RNA. RefSeq lists it as uncharacterized. NCBI's taxonomy places the organism in Eukaryota, Metazoa, Chordata, Testudines, Geoemydidae. The record is from RefSeq and is a predicted model, not a curated record. The transcript is spliced from 3 exons.